CGGGGUUCAAAGGCAUCUUUUAUCUUGGCUUAGAAAUGGAGGAGGGCAGCUCAGAGGAUCUAGAGUGUGUCCUGCUUGCCUGCGGCAACAUGAGAGACAAAAACCCAGAGGAUGCCGGGAGUGGGAUGCGAGGACCGCCAGAGGGUAAACACGAUGCGUUAUAAAGGGCUAAGAAGCUAUACUUCCUGUUUAUAAGCCUUUCCGAUGCCAGGUUAAGAUGAAUGAUCUCAUCUGUUCGGCACGGGGUCAAGCUCCGAAAGGGACCUUUACAGUCAACAAGCUUUAGAAAUGCAGGUUAGGCGCAGACUGCACACUGAGCUCUGGCCUAACUCAGCCCAGCAGAGGAAAGCUAUAGAAAACGCAGGGUGAAGUGGGCUACUCCAUCCUCAGACUCGUUCAAGGGUGGAGGCUCUGGCUUUCUGGAGACUCUCUGGCCCCACCAGAAGGAACGUGGAGCUUCAAACCCUGUGGCCUUCUCCAUCUCUGUUCUCCUCUUCCAUCACGGUGACAUAAGAAUCAUUGCUUUUCUCAGGGUCCCUGCCCUGAGGGGCUCUGUGUGGGCCCAGCUCGGUCUGGCCAAAGGCUGUUUGCAAUGUGUCCCCCAACAGCCUCUGCAGAAUGCCAUGUCCGUGCCAAGUACCUGUCUUGACCAGGGCUGCUUAGUGAUGCAAACCUCUGUCCCAUUUCACCCAAAACCUCAUGUCAGGACAAUGGACUCUGGGCACUGGGGCCGGGAGUUAUGCCCUCAUUUUGCAGCACAUACUCAC
This 767-nucleotide long non-coding RNA is filed under the name Mus pahari (shrew mouse). Its description in RNAcentral is "predicted gene 13052 (MGP_PahariEiJ_G0006278.1)". The record is from RNAcentral. Lineage: Eukaryota; Metazoa; Chordata; Mammalia; Rodentia; Muridae.